CCAGCUCUAAUAGCAUAUAUUAAAGUUGUUGCAGUUAAAAAGCUCGUAGUCGGAUUUUGGGCGCGUGUGGGCUGUCGGCCUCUGGUCGGACGGCAUGCGCGUGCCUUUCUGCUUGGGAGCCCCAUGGCGGUUCACGCCGUCGUGGUGGGUCACAGGCCGUUUACUUUGAAAAAAUUAGAGUGUUCAAAGCAGGCUAUUGCUUGAAUAGAUUAGCAUGGAAUAAUGGAAUAGGACCUUGGUGCUAUUUCGUUGGUUAUGGGACUGGGGUAAUGAUUAAUAGGGACAGUUGGGGCCGUUCAUAUUUCGUUGUCAGAGGUGAAAUUCUUGGAUUUACGAACGAUGAACUUGUGCGAAAGCAUUCGGCAAGGAUGUUUUCA
RNAcentral lists this ribosomal RNA (377 nucleotides) under Cryptomonas sp. RNAcentral describes it as "SSU rRNA". It matches the Rfam family "Eukaryotic small subunit ribosomal RNA", at positions 585 to 972 of the family's 1831-position model. Lineage: Eukaryota; Cryptophyceae; Cryptomonadales; Cryptomonadaceae. RNAcentral also lists the same sequence under 1 other name. The record is from RNAcentral.